UACGUAGGGUGCGAGCGUUGUCCGGAAUUAUUGGGCGUAAAGAGCUCGUAGGCGGCGUGUCGCGUCGGAUGUGAAAGCCCGGGGCUUAACCCUGGGUCUGCAUUCGAUACGGGCAGGCUGGAGUUCGGUAGGGGAGAUCGGAAUUCCUGGUGUAGCGGUGAAAUGCGCAGAUAUCAGGAGGAACACCGGUGGCGAAGGCGGAUCUCUGGGCCGAUACUGACGCUGAGGAGCGAAAGCAUGGGGAGCGAACAGG
This 253-nucleotide ribosomal RNA is filed under the name uncultured bacterium. Its description in RNAcentral is "partial 16S ribosomal RNA". It matches the Rfam family "Bacterial small subunit ribosomal RNA", at positions 524 to 776 of the family's 1533-position model. The record is from RNAcentral.